This 483-nucleotide ribosomal RNA is filed under the name uncultured bacterium. RNAcentral describes it as "bacterial SSU rRNA". It matches the Rfam family "Bacterial small subunit ribosomal RNA", at positions 29 to 487 of the family's 1533-position model. The record is from RNAcentral.
AACUAACGCUGGCGGCGUGCCUAACACAUGCAAGUCGUACGAGAAAGUCGGCUUCGGCUGAUGAGUAAAGUGGCGCACGGGUGAGUAACGCGUGGAUAAUCUGCCCUUGAGUGUGGAAUAACGUACCGAAAGGUGCGCUAAUACCGCAUAAUGCCUGGCAACACAAGUUGUCCGGCCAAAGAAGGCCUCUGUUUACAAGCUUUUGCUCAAGGAUGAGUCCGCGUACCAUUAGCUAGUUGGUGGGGUAACGGCCUACCAAGGCUACGAUGGUUAGCUGGUCUGAGAGGAUGAUCAGCCACACUGGAACUGAGACACGGUCCAGGCUCCUACGGGAGGCAGCAGUGAGGAAUAUUGCGCAAUGGGGGCAACCCUGACGCAGCAACGCCGCGUGAGUGAGGAAGGUUUUCGGACUGUAAAGCUCUGUCGAGCGGGAAGAAAUGUACCAUGGCUAAUAUCCAUGAUAUUUGACGGUACCGCUAGAGG